CUCCCACUGUGGGGGUUCUCACCCUGCAGAGCACUGCUUUAAGAAAGGGAAACCACGGUCCAAGGAGGAUGAAGUUUUGGAGGACUCCAGUAAGCGUGGCAAUGAAGCUACCAUGGUUAAGUCAGUAUUCCAGAGUUAGGGAGAGAGAGGAGUUAUGGGAUUAUUUUUCACGGGGUUUCUGGAUUCCGUUUGUUCAGUCAGUUUUCUCAUUACUUACUCAUUGGUAAUAGGAAAAGAAGAAAUCCUGGCUGACAAAUUGGCAAAUGAGAUUGAGUUGAGUCAAAUGGCAUGUCUUUUUGAUAGACCUUUGUUUGUCAGUUUGCAAGUUUCACCAUUGGGUCUGGUGCCUAAAAAGAAACCCCACGGGACUAAUUCAUCACUCGUCAUACCUGUCUGGGUGGGAUGGGGUUGGUAAACAAUGAAAGUUGCGUCACGCAUCUUUUCGAAAUGGGGUGGGAGAGUCCAAAUAAUCAGGUGGAAAAGGGUUCUAUGGUCUGGAAUUGUGCCAUGGUGGGGUUCCUCUGUCUGUGCUGCUGUUGCUUUGGCAGUUCCUGCAAAACUCUAGCAGUUUCUCUAGUUGCACUGUUGAUACAUGCUGACAUG
Molecule: non-coding RNA, 603 nt
Organism: Pelobates cultripes (western spadefoot toad)
Lineage: Eukaryota; Metazoa; Chordata; Amphibia; Anura; Pelobatidae
Source: the annotation of a GenBank genome assembly